This 3630-nucleotide long non-coding RNA is filed under the name Sus scrofa (pig). RNAcentral describes it as "lncRNA (ENSSSCG00000057340.1, ENSSSCG00105007285.1, ENSSSCG00130033297.1, ENSSSCG00175011467.1)". Lineage: Eukaryota; Metazoa; Chordata; Mammalia; Artiodactyla; Suidae. The record is from RNAcentral.
UGUCUGUGAGGAUGUGGAUUCUAUCUCUGGCCUCAUUCAGUGGGUUAAGGAUAUGGUGUUGCCACAAGCUGCAGCAUAGGUCGCACAAGUGGCUUGGAUCUGGCGUUGCUGUGGCUGUAGCAUAGACCUCAGCUACAGCUUCAAUUCAACCCCCACCCCGGCAUCUUCCAUGUGCUGCAGGUGUAGCCGUAAAAAGAAAAAAAAAAUUAGAAUGAAGGAAAAUGAAAUGCUUACUAUUAAGCACGAGGGGUUUUGUGUUUGUUUGUUUCUUAGGGCCACACCCACAGCAUAUGGAAGUUCCCAGGCUAGGGGGCUCAAAUCGAAGCUGUAGCCACUGGCCUACACCACAGCCACAGCAACGUGUGAUCCGAGCCAUAUCUGUGACCUACACCAUAGCUCACGGCAAGGUGAGUGAAGCCAGGGAUCGAACCCACAUCCUCAUGGAUACUAGUUAUUUUCGUUUAUGCUGCACCACAAUGGGAACUCCUCACAAAGUUUUAAAGAGAAUUAUGUUAGAAGAAACACCACUAGUUUGCACUGAUAUUACAAAUUAAGAAAUCUUUGUACCCCCAGGAUUCUGUAGACAGAAAGCAAUCUAAGAAAACUAACCCAAUUGGUGUCCUAGAAUUCAACUCAAUUCUGAGAGUGUCAACCUGGAGAGAGCGUUAGAUUCCACAGGUUAAUGGCUCCGUCCUACAAGACUCCCCCCCACCCCCAGCCCCACUUCAGAGGCCAGUCACAAACCCAGGUUUUAUCUGUGCUUCUGACCAACCAGCUAAAGGUUGGAGCUUCCAACACCCUCCUUGGACUUCAGACACUCCUUGCAAGUCCAAGUUACCUGUAUUUCUAACAAACUGGCUAUAAAUCAGAGGUCCGCAAAAUGCCCUGCUUGGGUUUGAAUAAUUUGCUAGAAUAUCUCAGAGAGAAACAAUAUUACUUACUAGAUCACUGGUUUGUAGAGAAAGGAUAUAACUCAGGACAAGCCAGAUGGAGAACUGCCCGGGGUGUUAAUGAACUGAACUUGGGUCUGCUCACCUGUCACGCAGCAAAGCUGAUGUACUGACACUAGGUUGUGCUGAAGGAAAGUACGGUGUUGAUUGCAGGGUCCAACAGGCAGAAUAGUCAGCUCAUGCUCAAAAGACCGGAAUGGCUUUCAGAGAUGUUGUUUUGUCUUGUUUUGUUUUGUUUGUCUUUUUAGGGCUAUACCCACAGCAUAUGGAGGUUCCCAGGCUAGAGGUCAAAUCAGAGCUGCAGCUGCCAGCCUUUGCCACAGCCACAGCAAAGCCAGAUCCGAGCCGCACCUGCGACCUACCCCCACAGCUCAGGGCAACACUGGAUCCCCAACCCACUGAGCGAGGCCAGGAAUCGAACCCACAUCCUCAUGGACGCUAGUAGGGUUCGUUAACCACUGAGUCACAACAGCAACUCCUCUUUUGUUCUUUUUGAGGGGAAAUUUAUUUUAUUAUAUUCUUUUUUAUUCAUAUAGUUAUUUUGGCUGCGCCCGAGGCAUGCAGAAGUUCCUGGGCCAGGGAGCAAACCUGAGCCACAGCAGUGACAGUGCUCGAUCCUUAACUGCCAGGCCACCUGGAAAGUCCUGUAUGAUUUUUUUCUGAUUGGUCAGUGAUGAGGUAACAGAGCGAUGUUCCCGGAAUCUUCAGCACCUACCUCCUGGUUCCAACCAGUCUGGUGAUCGGCAUGUAGUUACCUGCUACUGCCCUGGCAUGCAGGUUCAUUCCCUGCCUCAGGACAGUGGGUUAAGGACUGGCAUUGCUGCAGCUUGUGGCAUGGGUAGGGGUUACAGCUGUUGCUCAGAUCUGCUCUCUGGCCUGAGAAUUCCACAUGCCAUGGAUAGGCCAAAAAAGAAUUUUUUUUUUUUUGCUUUUUAGGGCCAAAUCUGCAGCAUAUGGAAGUUCCCAGGCUAGGGGUUAAUCAGAGCUGCAGCCGCUGGCCUGCAUCACAGCCACAGCAACACAAGAUCCAAACCACAUCUGUGACCUACACCACAGCUCACGGCCAUACUGGAUCCUUAACCCACUGAUCAGGGGCCAGGGAUUGGACCUGCGUCCUCACGGAUGCUUGACCUGCUAAGCCACCACAGGAACUCCCAGGAAAACAAUUUUUUAAAAUUAAAAGAAAAAAAUAAUGGAGAUGGGGGGUGAGGAGGAUCUUCAGUUCUGCAGAACCACCUGAAAUGCGUCAGAUUGUUCUACAUAGUCCCUUGAGGAGGAACUAAGGGUCCGUUUUGUUGCUGAACUAUUGUUUCUCGGCUGCUUCCCGUGGUUUCUGCAUUCCUUCACUUCCCUAACUAGUAACUGCUUAAGUCUGCUCUUUGGAACUCAAGGAAGCCCUGGGAGACCAAUGCCUUUUUCUACAAACAAUAAACAGGGGAUACAGGGGGCUUUUGUACCCAGGAAGGCCCUAAAAGAUCCUGCUCAGUUUAAAUUCCCCUUUUUCUUGGCUAUUUCUCAAUCCUGAGGGGAAUAGGGGUGGGACAAGAAAAGGAGUAAGGUUUUGGAUAGAGAGGCUAAGGAAACCUCGGCAAGAAAACUGUUUUGGGGGGGUUUGGUUUCAAGGGCAAGGUAGGUGGGAAGGGGUGCAGAGAUUCCAUGCCACUCUGUGGGCAUCCCCACUUGUUCACCAAUCAGGAUGCUCUCCAAACUCUGUCCCUGUGGGUUUUUAUGGAGGCUUUAUUACAUAUUCAUUGACCACCGGAGAUUUAUUGGAUUUAUUCCACGUUUAGCCCAUUCUUAGUGCUUCCAAAAGCCAUCUCAUUAACAUAACAAAAGACACUUUGGGGGCUUUUUUUUUUUUGUCUUUUUAGGGCCACUUGCACCCUUGGCAUAUGGAGGUUCCCAGGCUAGGGAUCUAAUCAGAGCUGUUGCACCACCGCCACAGCAACACCAGAUCUGAGUCAUGUCUGUGACCUACACCACAGCUCACAGCGACACUGGACCCUUGACCCACUGAGCAAGGCCAGAGAUCAAACCUGCUUGCUCAUGGAUGCUAGUCAGAUUCAUUUCCACUGAGCCACGAUGGGAACUCCAAGUAACUUUUUAUCACUCUUAACACUUAGGAAAUUCCUAGCAUUUUGGGAAUUUUGAGCCUGGAAUGUGGACCAAGACAAAAUUAUAGACGGAAGUUUGACGGCUGGAGCAUCCUUCGUUUACUGAUAUGGCAGGUGACAUUCUUAGUUCACAUGCCUCAAGCCCGAUUGCUUCUCCACGCUGACGUCCACCCUCCUGCCCCUUCCGCUCCUGCAGUCCUGGCCGGCUGGCCCUGCCUCCAGGUAUCUGCACUCCCUCCUCCUCUCUGCUGCCCCAGGUGCUCUGAGCUCACUCCCUUACCUCCUUCAGUCCUUUGCAGAGGUGUCACCUUCUCAUUCAGCCUUCCCUGACGGUCCUAUUGAAAACCACAACUUCCAUCCCAGACACCAGCCUCUCCUUCCCUGCUUUGUAAUUUCCCUAGCACUGAGCACCAUCCCAGGUGCCAGAAUUUGAUUCAUUUUACCUGUCUCCUCUUAUUAGAAUAUAAGCUCCAUGAGAACAGGGAUCUUUGUUUUGGUCCCUUCUGUACAUAUUCCUAGAACCUAGAUUUACACUAAGCACAUAGCAAAGCUCAAUAAAUAUUUGC